GAAUGUGACGGUGGCGAAGGAUGGGACGGGGAAUUUCACGACGAUUAGGGAGGCUGUGCCGGGGAUACCGAAGAAGAGUCAGUGGAGGUAUGUUAUUUACAUUAAGGAAGGAGUGUAUAAGGAGAAUGUGAUUCUGGAGAAGCAACUGUGGAACGUGGUGGUCUACGGCGACGGCAAGGACAAGACCGUCAUCUCCGGCAGUCUGAAUUUCAUCGACGGUGUUAUUUACAUUAAGGAAGGAGUGUAUAAGGAGAAUGUGAUUCUGGAGAAGCACUUGUGGAAUGUGGUGGUCUACGGCGACGGCAAGGACAAGACGGUGAUCUCCGGCAGUCUGAAUUUCAUCGACGGGACGCCUACUUUCUCUACUCCUACUUUCGGUGAGUCACCCGCACUUAACACUACUUGCACUUUAUUUCCUUCACUAACUAAUAACUCAAGUUUUUGGAUGGUAAAGAAUCACUCUUUCGUUCGAAAAGUCAGUCGAAAAUCCAACGUGGCCGACGACUUAAUAGAAUACCAAUUUCCUAACGCCAACUCCGUUGAUUAACCGACCUGACUCCAUCCGAACAACCUGAAAAUACAUCAGAACCACCUAACCCGAGAAGAACCCGAAAUCGAAAAUAAUCAAUUUCCCUCCUUUCUCAUCGGGUGUUUUUCAGGUUAGGUGAUUUAUUCUGGUUUAGUUUUGGAUUUUUUCGGUUGGGUUGAUAAUAUUUCAGUCACUGUACUUUAUUUCUUAACUAACUCUACUGACUCAAUUUUUGGAUGAUAAUGAAUGAAUCCAUGUUUUUAGCAAGUUCCGUUGAAAGAAAAGGUCGUUCAAAAUCCAACGUGGCCGACAGACUUAAUAAAUUACAAAUUUCUUAAUGUCAGCUCAGUAUGUUCUAUACUAUGAUUAACAGGCCAGACCAUUAACCCAACCGAACAAACUCAAAGAUAAACCAGAAUCACCUAACAAAAGAACCCCGAAAACAAAAACAACUUUGAGUUUAAGUGAUUCUGGUUUAGUUUUGGGUUUGUUUGGUUGGAAUAAUGGUCGGGUCAAUUAAUCCGUGUAUGGACAAGCUGAGUUGGCAUUAAUAAAUUGAUAUUUUAUUAAUUUCGUCAGCAACGGUAGAUGUUGCACGGACUUUCAGACAAAAAUUGGGUGGGAAUGUAGAUUUACCAUCCGAUAAUUUGAAUCAUGAAUUCGUUAAAUUAUUAAAAAAAGUGACCGAAAUGUUACUUAUCUCGAAUUUUAAAUGACCGCCAACGUUUUUAAUCUAAAAACAGGGCAUGUUACCAUGUUCUAAGCCGUGACAGACGGAUCAUAUGAUUUCACACUCACGGACUCCAUUUGCAAGAGCAAAAUGGCACAUGGUAUGAGCUUAGAAAACACAUAUGGCCCCCCCAUGUGAUUAGCAGCAUCAACCAGUACUUACAUCCGAUUAGUUGGUCUUAUGUGUCAAGAAUCGUUACAUCUCACUAUUUCGAGUUCUUGAUAAAAGGUUCCGAUAGAUCAUUAACACACCCCCUCAACAUAAAACAAACUUUUUU
This 1536-nucleotide long non-coding RNA is filed under the name Linum usitatissimum (flax). Its description in RNAcentral is "long non-coding RNA (LUSI_LNC004260)". Lineage: Eukaryota; Viridiplantae; Streptophyta; Magnoliopsida; Malpighiales; Linaceae. The record is from RNAcentral.